GACGAACGCUGGCGGCGUGCUUAACACAUGCAAGUCGAGCGGUAAGGCCCUUUCGGGGGUACACGAGCGGCGAACGGGUGAGUAACACGUGGGUGACCUGCCCUCAGCUCUGGGAUAAGCCUGGGAAACCGGGUCUAAUACUGGAUAUGACUCCAUGACGCAUGUUGUGGGGUGGAAAGCCUUGUGCGGCUGAGGAUGGGCCCGCGGCCUAUCAGCUUGUUGGUGGGGUGAGGCCUACCAAGGCGACGACGGGUAGCCGGCCUGAGAGGGCGACCGGCCACACUGGGACUGAGACACGGCCCAGACUCCUACGGGAGGCAGCAGUGGGGAAUCUUGCGCAAUGGGCGAAAAGCCUGGCGCAGCGACGCCGCGUGAGGGAUGACGGCCU
RNAcentral lists this ribosomal RNA (388 nucleotides) under uncultured bacterium. RNAcentral's name for it is "bacterial SSU rRNA". It matches the Rfam family "Bacterial small subunit ribosomal RNA", at positions 28 to 417 of the family's 1533-position model. The record is from RNAcentral.